ACGACCAUACCUGCAGUAGAAUACGGGAUCCCGUCCGCUCUCCCAUAGUCAAGCCUGCAAGGGGCGGAUUAGUAGUUGGGUCGGUGACGACCAGCGAAUACCUGCUGUUGUAUGUU
This 116-nucleotide ribosomal RNA is filed under the name Fusarium fujikuroi. Lineage: Eukaryota; Fungi; Ascomycota; Sordariomycetes; Hypocreales; Nectriaceae. RNAcentral also lists the same sequence under 13 other names. The record is from RNAcentral.